UAUGUGAUCGUCUCUCGCAUAUCAAUAAGCGGAGGAAAAGAAACUAACAAGGAUUCCCCUAGUAACGGCGAGUGAAGCGGGAAGAGCUCAAAUUUGAAAUCUUAAAGGGUUUCCCUUUACGAAUUGUAGUUUAAAGAAGUGUUUUCUGUUGAGGUUUUGGUAAAAGUUCUUUGGAAUAGGACAUCAUAGAGGGUGAGAAUCCCGUAUUUGACCUUUACUUUCAACUUUGUGAUACACUUUCAAAGAGUCGGAUUGUUUGGGAAUGCAGUCCAAAAUGGGUGGUAAAUUUCAUCUAAAGCUAAAUAUUGGCGAGAGACCGAUAGCGAACAAGUACCGUGAGGGAAGGAUGAAAAGAACUUUGAAAAGAGAGUUAAACAGUACGUGAAAUUGUCAAAAGGGAAGCGUUUGACACCAGUGUUGUUUUUCUGAAAAUCAAUUAAAGAACUGUUUAUGCUAAGUUGUUUAGACUUUAUCAGCUAUCUGUUUAGUUUUGAGCUUUUCUUUAAUGCACUUUUCAGUCAACAAGUCAACAUCAAUUUCUUUUGCUGUAAAAAAGCUUGAGGAAGGUGGCUUGAGAUUCGUCUUAAGUGUUUAUAGCCUCUUGCCUAUGCAGUCGGAGAGAUUGAGGUCUGCAGCGUAGAUCCUUCGGGGCUAAAUGCAUUUGUGCUAAGUUAUAGCAUUUUAUAGACAACUUGUUGACUAUGAUUUGUCUUGUAGCUUACUCGCUUAUGUUAUUUUACCUACGCUUAGGAUGUUGACGAGACUGUCGAUCUC
RNAcentral lists this ribosomal RNA (774 nucleotides) under uncultured Neocallimastigales. RNAcentral's name for it is "partial large subunit ribosomal RNA". It matches the Rfam family "Eukaryotic large subunit ribosomal RNA", at positions 24 to 647 of the family's 3401-position model. Lineage: Eukaryota; Fungi; Neocallimastigomycota; Neocallimastigomycetes; Neocallimastigales. The record is from RNAcentral.